CUAGAUACCAUAUUUAUCCUAAGUGUCCUAAGAUAUAUAUAUCUUAUAUAUAUAUAUAUAUAUAAUUUCAACACUAAUAAGUAUCUGUAUAUCAUUUUAGAUAUUUAUCCCAACUAGAACUUAUUUGAUGCCUAAUAUGAGAAAGGAAUUUAUUCUAUUUUUUUACAGAAGGUUGUUACUUCAAUUCAGUUCAUUAAAUAGUACACCCUUCCUCACAGAUUUUUCUUUUACCAAGUUGACAUGUAUUUCUUUGAAAAACAACUGGCAAUAUUUACCCAGUGAAAAAUUAUCAUAUUCAAUGAUUUGUUAUGAGAAUAUCUCAGGGCCUUCAAUAUCUUUUCUAUUUUCAGAACUGUUUUGGGUAAUGAUGAUAUUAAUUUUAUACUUCUGUAAGAAUUUUAGAACCAAUUUAUCAAGACUCCUCCUCCUAAAAAGCUAUUGGGAUUUUGAUUGUAAUUAUAUUAUCAUUAUAUUUAAAUUUGGGAAAAUUUAAUACUUUCAAUAUUGGGCCUUACUAUUCACAAACAGGAAUAUUUUUUUAUUUAUUCAAACCUUCCUUAAUGAUUUUCAAUAAUAUUUUAUAAUUUGCUCCCUAGAGUUCUUACAGUUAACAAUUUUUAGCAACAAUUUAUUCAGUACUUAACUAAUUUUUGUUUGAUAUAAAAAUAUACAUAAAUAUGCAGAAAUUUUAAUGAAUUAUGUGAUAUUUUUUAAAUAAAGUGUAUAGUACCUUUAUAUAGAGUUAAUGUAAAGACAGAGUGUGCACUCAAAUCAAAUAAAAAAACACCCAAUGGUGGUUUCCUCUAGAGACAGAAACAAACAAACAAACAAAAAACCACAGGAGCUAUGUAAGGAGAGCAUAGAGGAUUUCAGCUUCAUCUGUAAGUUAUUAUUUCUUUGAAACAAGAGAACAAAUGAUCUGAAGUAAAUAUAAAACUUUUUCUUAACUUUUGAAUAGUGGACAUAUGUGUAUUAAUUGUAUCCUUGUAGUUAUACCAUCUUUACAUAUUAUCUUUAUUUAAUUUUCCAUAUAAUUAAAAAAGAAAUACAGCGAUGCAAGACUUUAAAAGAGACACAUAAUAAAAUCAAAUAAGCAAACAAGCCACUAGAAAUAGAAUAUACAGCUAUGUACUAGCCAUUGAUUUAUCCAAGAGGAGUAUUCCCUGGUCAUCAGAGGAAUCCUAAGCAAGUGCUGUACACUGCCAGGUGUCAGCAGAUCUCCAGUCAACCUGAUAAUAGCACCAUACUUCACAGUCUUGUAAAUUUUACACAACUGAUAUUCUUAUAUGCUGGCCUAUGCUUCCUCUCAACCACCUCAAGAGUGAUCUCUAAAACCCUUUACAUUAUAAAGAGAUCCUCCUUUAACCUGAUACUCUUCACAGAAUUCUCCUUUCCUGUCCUUUCCUGAGGCUAAGACCUGACUUUUUUUUUUUUUUUUUUUCCCUCCCUGAAGCUUUCUUAAGGGAAAGAGGAUGUUCAUUCUCCCAUACUUUAUGUAUCUCUGGACAAGGAAAUAAUCUUGUUAGUAUUCUCUUAGUGUUUCAUUGUCACUUUCAAGUAAUUUUUCCUUUAAAAAGAGCAUGAAGGUUAAGUUUAAAGACUUUUGAGAGAUCAGAUUGCCUGAUCCUGAAGUCUGGCUCCACUUUUUCUAUAGUUAUUUGAUCUUGGGAAAUUAGUAAUUCUUUCUGUAUCUCAAUGUCUUUAUUUAAAAAUGAGAGAUUAAAAAAAAAGACUUAACUUCUAGACUUGUGCGAAUUAAAUCAAUUAAUACAUAAAACACAUAGAAAGUGGUUUUUGAAUAAACUAAUUAUAAUUUUUUUCACAUACAUUCAUUACUAUAAUGUUUACUAGAAAAGUCCAAACUAUAUCCUUUAAUUCCCAUUAUUGCUUUUAUGUAUUACCUCUAAUAGUAGCACAAAAUCUCAAAUAUUUCAAUAUUUUUAAAAUAAAAUUCUGAUAUUUCCCUUUAGUUUUCUCUGUGGAGAAUUCUAGUCAUUUAUUUCAUGUAUUCUCUUAUGAGAUGAUUCCAGACAACUUGUAAGCUUAUCUGCUCCAUAUUUUAUAGACGAUUGAUAGUGAUUCCCUCCCAAAUUUUUAAAAGGACAUGCAAAUAUAAAAAUGCUGGCUGGAUGUACGUAAGUGAACUAAGAAAAAAUAUCUCAUAAAAUAACAGUUUAAACUAUAUAGCUACUAAUUUUCAAAUGUAUUGAAUCCAAAAUAAUCAAGACAAAUACAUUUAACAAGAUAUGAGAAAAAGUCAGACCUAGAUGCAUUGCAUUACAGGUGAACACCCCAUGGCUCAAGUGAAUUAAUUUACAUAUUGGUCAACAGGAUAGAAUCUCCUCCCAUGGGAGCUGUAGCAUACUGAACAAUUUUGGUGGUCUCAGAGCCCACUAAAUCAGAAUAAAGACCAAAAAUCAAUGAAAAUAUAAUUAUGGCUCUAGAGAUUUAUAUCUACAAAUUUAUUCUUUACUACAAAUAGCAAAUGCUUUAAUAAAAGUUGAAAAAAAUCUCAUUUAUUAAGAUAAGUAGCUUGGUCUAAAUCUUGAUUGCUCCCCUUUCAAUGGUAUAAUGAAGAUAAAGUACACAUUCAAAUCAUUAUAGAGUUGAAACACUUGCAUAACUUUCCCCAAUUCUUCAAGCAAGAAUUCCAGGCUUAAAACAGCCCUAAUUGGCACUAAUUCCAUGACCAAAACAUGAAAAAUUAAGUUGGGCCAAUGUGAUGUGUUACAUUUGUUUUGUGAAAGUCCAAAUUUGCAGACUGAUGCUCUGAGUUUCUUUGUCAUUGACCACUUUAAUAAAAAGUAAAUUAUCCAACAGUACAAUAGCAGCAUUAGUCUUCAAGUCUUUCAUAAUUUAAAAAUUAACAUUAACACUUCUCAAAGUAUAGUCUAUAGACAUCUAGGUGGCCUCAAUACUGUUUGUUCUAGGUACAUCCAGGAGGAUAAGACAAUUUUCCUAA
Molecule: long non-coding RNA, 2962 nt
Filed under: Canis lupus familiaris (dog)
Lineage: Eukaryota; Metazoa; Chordata; Mammalia; Carnivora; Canidae
Description: lncRNA (ENSCAFG00000058525.1)
Source: RNAcentral